Molecule: ribosomal RNA, 253 nt
Filed under: uncultured bacterium
Lineage: Bacteria
Description: partial 16S ribosomal RNA
Rfam family: Bacterial small subunit ribosomal RNA
Source: RNAcentral
UACAGAGGUCCCAAGCGUUGUUCGGAUUUACUGGGCGUAAAGGGCGCGUAGGCGGCGCGGUAAGUCACUUGUGAAAUCUCUGAGCUUAACUCAGAACGGCCAAGUGAUACUGCAGUGCUAGAGUGCAGAAGGGGCAAUCGGAAUUCUUGGUGUAGCGGUGAAAUGCGUAGAUAUCAAGAGGAACACCUGAGGUGAAGACGGGUUGCUAGGCUGACACUGACGCUGAGGCGCGAAAGCCAGGGGAGCAAACGGG